CCGCCGCACCCUCUCUUCUCUCAUUCAUCUACAUCCUUGCCACAAAGAUGGCACCUCUUUUUCGGUGCAAAUGUUUGGUGUUAUUCACCGAUCUCACGUCACAAACGGGUCUGGCUAAUCAUUUUGGAGCAGACUAUAGCAUGUUGAUUGUUCAUGGCGUUUCAAGGGCUCAAUUGAGAAAGGCUGGUAUAUCUCAAACGCCUCCAUGAAACCCGUGGUUGGUGGUGUGUGAGGUUGUUAGGUACAUCAGUGCACAGAAACUUGCAGUCUAAGGAGCUUGAAGUGUCAUGUUGCGUG
Long non-coding RNA from Helianthus annuus (common sunflower), 297 nucleotides. RefSeq lists it as uncharacterized. The record is from RefSeq and is a predicted model, not a curated record. The transcript is spliced from 4 exons. Lineage: Eukaryota; Viridiplantae; Streptophyta; Magnoliopsida; Asterales; Asteraceae.